GGCAGGAUGGUGUAGUGGUUUGAGUGUUGGACUAAGAUUCCAGGAGACCAAGGUUCGAAUCCCCACUCAGCCA
Phrynosoma platyrhinos (Desert horned lizard) is the source of this 73-nucleotide non-coding RNA. NCBI's taxonomy places the organism in Eukaryota, Metazoa, Chordata, Lepidosauria, Squamata, Phrynosomatidae. The record is from the annotation of a GenBank genome assembly.